UACUCACUGACUUAUCUGUAGAGGCCCUCCCC
Molecule: non-coding RNA, 32 nt
Filed under: Mus musculus (house mouse)
Lineage: Eukaryota; Metazoa; Chordata; Mammalia; Rodentia; Muridae
Source: RNAcentral